RNAcentral lists this ribosomal RNA (433 nucleotides) under uncultured bacterium. RNAcentral describes it as "partial 16S ribosomal RNA". It matches the Rfam family "Bacterial small subunit ribosomal RNA", at positions 29 to 507 of the family's 1533-position model. The record is from RNAcentral.
AACGAACGCUGGCGGCAUGCCUAACACAUGCAAGUCGAACGAGACCUUCGGGUCUAGUGGCGCACGGGUGCGUAACGCGUGGGAACCUGCCCUUAGGUUCGGAAUAACUCCCCGAAAGGGGUGCUAAUACCGGAUAAUGUCUUCGGACCAAAGAUUUAUCGCCUUUGGAUGGGCCCGCGUUGGAUUAGCUAGUUGGUAGGGUAAAAGCCUACCAAGGCGACGAUCCAUAGCUGGUCUGAGAGGAUGAUCAGCCACACUGGGACUGAGACACGGCCCAGACUCCUACGGGAGGCAGCAGUGGGGAAUAUUGGACAAUGGGCGAGAGCCUGAGCCAGCAAUGCCGCGUGAGUGAUGAAGGCCUUAGGGUUGUAAAGCUCUUUUACCCGGGAUGAUAAUGACAGUACCGGGAGAAUAAGCGCCGGCUAACUCCGUG